GCAGGUAAGGGGAGGGACCAUAGAUUCCAUCUCUUGCUAGGGGAGCGGUAAGGUUCUAGAAGAACAUGUGAGACUGGAAAUAUUGUCAUGGCUAAUUUUAGAAAAUACAAUCCCCAUAUUAUGUGUCUGGUCCUAGGCGAAGCACCCCCUCACAUUAUUUCAUUCCAUCCUGUACUGUCUUUACAGAUGACAAAACUGAAGCUUGGAGAUGUCACAUCACUUGCCCAAAGUCACCCAGUCACUAAGGGGACAGGACUGGAGUUUGAUUCCAGUAGUCUGAUUCCAUGUAACUGGCAAGAACCUGGCCGAGCCAAAUGCAGCCAAACAAGACUUGGAAGUGGUAGAGAAUGGUCUUCCGAGGUUAAGCCAGAGAGUGGGCAGCCAGAGAUGAGAGCUGCCUGCUCUGGGCCCACUCACAGCCUCUGGCCUCACUAGGGUUAGCCUUAGUUUCCCAGCUGGCUCUAAGACCAUGAUUUUAUUCUAAUUUCAAGGCUAUAAGAAUAUAAGAACAUGAGGUCAUGCCUGUAAUCCCAGCAGUUUGGAAGGCUGAGGCAGGAAGAUCACCUGAGCCCAGGAGUUCGAGACCAGCCUGGGCAACAGAGUGAGACCCCUUCUCUACAAAAAAAACUUUUGAAACUUACAGGGUGUAUUGUCACAUGCCUGUGGUCCCAGCUAUUUAGGAGGCUGAGGUAGGAGGAUUGUUUGAGCCCAGGAGGUUGAGGCUGCAGUGAACCAAGAUCAUACCACUACACUACAGCCUGGGUAAUACAAAGAGACCCUGCUUUUAAAAAGAGGAAGAAGGAGAAGGAGAAGGAGAAGGAGGAGUUUGAACACGCAUAAGCAGAAAACACAAUUUGCCCUGAGCAGGCCCUGGAAGCCUGUUCUUGGCUCUGGAGAGCUCUAAAAUCUGGAUGGAGCUUCCCUGCAGGGUUGGGUGCAGGCCAGUGUGUGGGCAGAUGGAAGGGAUAGUGGAAAGCACUUAUUCCAGAAACCAUCAAUGUGGUGCUUAGAUGCCCGGCAAGGGAACUGUAUGGCUAGAUGUUCCAGGCUGCACAAAUCUGAAAUCUAAAGACAGCUUUCUAAGUCGAGCCAAUAGCCCCUUUAUUUUGAUCAAUAUUUCCUAGGAGAGAAGGCCAGGUCAGUACAGAAACCUAGAUGGUCUCUGGGGACCACUGGUUUCCCUGCCCAGUGGCCGAUCAUCAACUUCCGCUGUGGACAGCAUUCAGUAGUUUUCCAGAGUGCUGGCAAGGAAGACUUUACUUGAGGAUUGGACACCAGGAAAAUUGCCAGAAUAAUGUGUGUGUGUGUGUGUGUAGGGGGGAGGGGUUUGUAACAGGAUGUAUUUAUUGUGUGUGUUUGUUUUUGUGUUUUCUUUUCUCUUUGCUUUUUUGUUUCUUUUCUCUUUGGAAACCAUCUCAAAUUGUGUAUUCAUUUUUUGAUAAACUAUCUCAGGCAUUAAAAUGAUAGAUAAUACAAACACUGGAAAUAACCCAAAUGCCUGCCAACAGGUGAAAGGAUGGACAUAUUCUUUUUUUUUUUUUUGAGACAGGGUCUCAGUUGCCCACACUGCAGUGCAGUGGCACAAUCACAGUUCACUGCAGCCUCCACAUCCUGGGCUUAAGGCCUCCUGCCUCUGCCUCCUGAGUACUUAGGACUACAGGUGUGGGCCACCACUUUUAGCCAAUUUUUUUUUUUUUUUUUUUUUUGUGGCGUCAGGGUUUCACUAUGUUGCCA
Molecule: long non-coding RNA, 1734 nt
Filed under: Macaca fascicularis (crab-eating macaque)
Lineage: Eukaryota; Metazoa; Chordata; Mammalia; Primates; Cercopithecidae
Description: lncRNA (ENSMFAG00000050318.1)
Source: RNAcentral